GUGGGGAAUCUUGCGCAAUGGGCGAAAGCCUGACGCAGCCAUGCCGCGUGAAUGAUGAAGGUCUUAGGAUUGUAAAAUUCUUUCACCGGGGACGAUAAUGACGGUACCCGGAGAAGAAGCCCCGGCUAACUUCGUGCCAGCAGCCGCGGUAAUACGAAGGGGGCUAGCGUUGCUCGGAAUUACUGGGCGUAAAGGGCGCGUAGGCGGACAGGUUAGUCAGAGGUGAAAGACCAGGGCUCAACCUUGGAAUUGCCUUUGAUACUGGCUGUCUUGAGUACGGGAGAGGUGAGUGGAACUCCGAGUGUAGAGGUGAAAUUCGUAGAUAUUCGGAAGAACACCAGUGGCGAAGGCGACUCACUGGCCCGUUACUGACGCUGAGGCGCGAAAGCGUGGGGAGCAAACAGGAUUAGAAACCCCUGUAGUCC
Molecule: ribosomal RNA, 425 nt
Filed under: uncultured bacterium
Lineage: Bacteria
Description: partial 16S ribosomal RNA
Rfam family: Bacterial small subunit ribosomal RNA
Source: RNAcentral